AUGAAAUAUAUUGUCUAAUAUUUUACAAUAUUUCAGAUAAAAAGGAAUUAUUUGUUGGUGCUUCGACAGAUCUUAUUAUUCCUUGAUGAAUAGCCUUCAGAGAAUGGCCAGACCUCUCACUGUUUUAGUGGAGGGAAAUAUUGGCGCAGGAAAAACACAAUUUAUAAACCGGUUUAAUAACAUUCCUCAUCUUCAAAUACUUCAGGAACCUGUGGAUAAAUGGAGGAAUGUAAACGGGAAUAAUCUUCUACAGUUGAUGUACCAGGAUCCAUGCCGCUGGUCACUUGCAUUUCAAACCUAUGUCCAGCUAACAAUGCUAGAAAACCAUGCUGUAUCCCUGUAUCCUAUAAAGAUUAUGGAAAGAUCUAUCUAUAGCGCCAGAUACUGCUUUGUGGAAAAUCUGAAGAGAACAGGAAAAAUGCAGAGUUCUGAAUACGAGGUUCUGAAAGCCUGGUUUGAAUAUCUUAUAUCUGCUCCUGAAAUGAAUAUUGAUGCAGAUCUAAUUGUUUAUCUCAGAACUACACCGAAGGUGGCUUACGAGAGGCUAAAGUUGAGGAGCCGUGGAGAGGAGCAUUUAAUACCACUUCAAUAUAUUAAGGAUCUGCACGGACUUCACGAAGAUUGGUUACUCAACCAUUCCUUCCCUAUCCCUGCCCCUGUAGUGGUUAUUGACGCUGAUAAGGAUGCCUGUGAUUUAGAGGAGGACUUUCUUAACGUCAAGAACAUGAUUAUAAAACCAAUAUACAACCAAACCUUGAAAACUAAAUGUGUGUAGGAUAAUGGACAAUUGUUCUUGAUAAAGUUUUUUUUUUGUGGAGAAAAAAUCUCGUUUUUGUUUUGUAAUUUCAUUAAAAUGAAAGUUCACAUUUUUAUUAAAUCACUGAUGAGAUAUGUUUAAAAUAUCUUCAAUACUCUUCUUUACUCAUCAAUUUAGCAUAUUAUUUUGUCGGUCCAAAAGUGUGAAUUGUGUAGUUCAGAACAGUUUAAAUAAGAAUAAAAGAUAGAUUUUGUGUUAGUGUAAAUCUUUCAAAUAUCGUAAUAUAGUGUUGUAUCUAAUUCAAUUUAAUGACAUCUCAUAAAAGUGGCUAUUAAGGAAUCAAUCAAGAUUUGUACAGCACUGCUACCAUAAACACUAAAAUAAAGGAGUGUUUAAUUGUUUUUCUAUUAAUAUUUAUUAUGACUGUUGUGUUUAGCAAUAAUCAUUGACCAACCUUUGAUUGAUUGAUAUAUCAUUGUGUGACAACAGAACAGAAUUUGUAAUAUUUCGUUAUUUAUCGAAUCAUUGAUAAAUUAUAAAAUAUACUGAACUAAAAUCCAAUAAAAACAUGCCAUAACCUCA
This 1339-nucleotide unclassified non-coding RNA is filed under the name Eurytemora carolleeae. RNAcentral describes it as "deoxynucleoside kinase". The record is from RNAcentral. Lineage: Eukaryota; Metazoa; Arthropoda; Copepoda; Calanoida; Temoridae.